Molecule: ribosomal RNA, 257 nt
Filed under: uncultured prokaryote
Description: partial 16S ribosomal RNA
Rfam family: Bacterial small subunit ribosomal RNA
Source: RNAcentral
UACGGAGGAUGCGAGCGUUAUCCGGAUUUAUUGGGUUUAAAGGGUGCGUAGGCGGCUUUUUAAGUCAGUGGUGAAAUUUUGCAGCUUAACUGUAACAGUGCCGUUGAUACUGGGGAGCUAGGAUUUGGUUGCUGUGGGUGGAAUGUGUGGUGUAGCGGUGAAAUGCUUAGAGAUCACACAGAAUAUCGAUUGCGAAGGCAGCUCACAAAGCCAAGAUUGACGCUGAGGCACGAAAGUGUGGGGAUCAAACAGGAUUA